GAUCCAACGCCAUCUCCCAAUCUUGAAUUCUUUGUAUUUGAGGCAGAGGAAGAUGAUGUUGAAGGGGAUUCCUGACGAGAUUACCCGCCUUCUUGAACACCUAAAGAAGCUCAUUCAGCUGUAUCAUGAGAAUCAGCAAAACAGUCAAACUGGGGCAUUGCAAAUGCAUAAAAAUAAAUAAAUAAAAAAAAAUAAAAAAAGAGGAGGGUGAAAAAGAUAAAAAAGUCAAAAAUCAGGAAAUUUUUUUCAAAUUUUUCCAAAAGAAAAAAAAAGAAAAAAUUAUACCCUCAAGUCCCUAGUUGACUGAUGCUGAAUGGAUUCAGAGUCGUUAUGACCA
This 337-nucleotide long non-coding RNA is filed under the name Lathyrus oleraceus (garden pea). Its description in RNAcentral is "Pisum sativum (pea) long non-coding RNA (PSAT_LNC037802)". The record is from RNAcentral. Lineage: Eukaryota; Viridiplantae; Streptophyta; Magnoliopsida; Fabales; Fabaceae.